GACGAACGCUGGCGGCGUGCUUAACACAUGCAAGUCGAACGAUGAAGCCUUAGCUUGCUUUGGUGGAUUAGUGGCGAACGGGUGAGUAACACGUGAGCAACGUGCCCAGGACUCUGGAAUAACCGCGGGAAACCGUGGCUAAUACCGGAUAGGUGCCGAGGCCGCAUGGUCAUCGGUUGGAAAGUUUUUGCGGUUCUGGAUCGGCUCACGGCCUAUCAGCUUGUUGGUGGGGUAAUGGCCUACCAAGGCGACGACGGGUAGCCGGCCGGGGAGGGUGACCGGCCACACUGGUACUGCGACACGGCCCAGACUCCUACGGGGGGCAGCAGUGGGGAAUAUUGCACAAUGGGCGCAAGCCUGAUGCAGCGACGCCGCGUGGGGGAUGACGGCCUUCGGGUUGUAAACCUCUUUUAGUAGGGAAGAAGCGCAAGUGACGGUACCUGCAGAAAAAGCACCGGCUAACUACGUG
Molecule: ribosomal RNA, 469 nt
Filed under: uncultured bacterium
Lineage: Bacteria
Description: partial 16S ribosomal RNA
Rfam family: Bacterial small subunit ribosomal RNA
Source: RNAcentral